RNAcentral lists this ribosomal RNA (969 nucleotides) under Triticum aestivum (bread wheat). RNAcentral describes it as "partial small subunit ribosomal RNA". The record is from RNAcentral. Lineage: Eukaryota; Viridiplantae; Streptophyta; Magnoliopsida; Poales; Poaceae.
AUGAAGGAAAACAACAACAACAUGGGUCCUCUUCUUUUUUCCUCCAAAUCUCCACAGGCUAUAUAUCUAGAGAGAGUAUCACCGGCUAUGAUCUUCCUUCCUGCCUUCCUUGAUUCAUCAGACUUCUGGAACACCGACCACAACCAGCUUCAGCUGCAACAAAUCGGCACUAGCACUCAUAGUACUACCACUUCUUCACCCGAUGGUCCUGGUGAUGGAGGAUGCAACAACAAUAAUCCCAAAGGGUUCAUGGCCACAACCGGGGCCGACUACGACGUUGCAGGGGGCGGAGAUGAUGGUUGCGGCGGUGCUGGGGACGGCGAUUGCAGUCGCGGCAGAAAUAACAAGUCGAUUUCCAUGUCGGAGCGAGCACGGCUAGCGCGGUUGCCGCAUCCAGUUCCAGGGCUCAACUGCCCGCGAUGCGAAUCCACCAACACCAAGUUUUGCUACUUUAAUAACUACUCUCUUACCCAGCCCCGCCACUUCUGCCGCUCCUGCAGCCGCUACUGGACCCGCGGCGGCGUUCUCCGCAACGUGCCCAUCGGCGGGGGGUAUCGUCGCCAUGCCAAGCGUAGGGCCAAGCCCAAGGUGGUGUCAGCCACCUCCCGAGCCUCUACGAUUGCAAUACCCCAUUUUGGCAGCACGCCGUCCCACGACAGCCAGUUCAGCGACAUAUUCGACCCAGCUAACCUUGGUCUCGGCUUCCCUGUCAGGCUGCUCUUUGCCGAAAGCGAUGCUUACACGGUGGAUGGCUGUGCGCACCACCACCACCACCAUGCCCAUGGGAACGGGAUGGAGCAGUUAUUGGAAGCACAGAAUAGCUUCCCAUUCAUGCACGCCAUGGAUCAUCAUAUGUCUGGACUCCCAGCUGAGGCAAUUCCCAUCACAAUGGCUACGAUGCAGGGCAUGUUCCACCUAGGGUUACAGAGCGUCCGCGGGGGUCAUGGCGACGAGAUAGCAGGCCAAUAG